UGUUGACGGUACCUUGAUAAUAAGCACCGGCUAACUACGUGCCAGCAGCCGCGGUAAUACGUAGGGUGCGAGCGUUAAUCGGAAUUACUGGGCGUAAAGCGUGCGCAGGCGGUUUUGUAAGACAGAUGUGAAAUCCCCGAGCUCAACUUGGGAACUGCGUUUGAGACUGUAUGACUAGAAUAUGUCAGAGGGGGGUGGAAUUCCACGUGUAGCAGUG
Molecule: ribosomal RNA, 217 nt
Filed under: uncultured beta proteobacterium
Lineage: Bacteria; Pseudomonadati; Pseudomonadota; Betaproteobacteria
Description: partial 16S ribosomal RNA
Rfam family: Bacterial small subunit ribosomal RNA
Source: RNAcentral